This is a non-coding RNA of Linepithema humile (Argentine ant), 437 nucleotides long. The record is from RefSeq and is a predicted model, not a curated record. Lineage: Eukaryota; Metazoa; Arthropoda; Insecta; Hymenoptera; Formicidae.
AUGGCAAAAAGUCACUACAUAUUGGUCUCAAAUUUCAAAAAACGAGUUCAAGAUCUUAUAACUAAUAGUCAGCCUUGUUAUGAGUAUAUAGAUCAGUUUCCAGCUCUCUCUGAUCCAUUAGGUUAUCUAUUACUGGAACAAGAUUUUGAAAUAUUACAUCCAGAACACGGUUAAAACUUUAUAUUGCUUGGUCAAAAUUAAUCAGAAUUUAUAACUGACAGAGUGAAUUUUAAAGCUAAAAAGCGUUUGGAUAAUGUUUUGACACCUGAGGGCACCAAAGUUGCAAUUAUAUCGUUAAUGCCUCAUUUGUUCCCUGUAAUCACGAUUAAAAAAGGUAAACCAAGAGAUUGGAGACCUUCUAGGGAAGAAUGUGAAGAAGCAUUUCUUUUACAUGUGAAGACGAUUACUGAUUUGGAUGCAAGAUUAGAAGAGCGUAC